AAAAGAAUAAAACAUAGGCCCUGAACUUAAGGAGUUUAUAAUCUGGUAGGAAAGCAGCUAUUAGAAGGCAGUAGUAAAUAGAUACUGAAAUCAAAAUGCAAAGAAGGAAAUUUUAGGGGUCUGCAGAGGAAAAGAGAGAAGAUCCUGAUAGAGGGAUGGGAGGAGGUCAAAGAUGACUGCAUGGAAGUGACAUUUAGUACCUAAAGAA
Molecule: long non-coding RNA, 208 nt
Filed under: Homo sapiens (human)
Lineage: Eukaryota; Metazoa; Chordata; Mammalia; Primates; Hominidae
Description: HSALNT0058871
Source: RNAcentral